AUGGUUGUAAAACCAGGGGAAACGUUUACCAUCGCCUGUAAGAUCACUGGAUAUUCAGCCUCAGGUGGAGGCUACACAAACUGGAUCAGACAUUCAAGUGGAAAACCCAUGGAAUGGAUCGGAUAUUUCCAGACUUCCAGCAGCAAUCGUGUCACAGAUUCUCUGAAAAAUAAGAUCAGUUUCUCUUCUGAAUCCUCCAGCAACGCAGUUAUUUUAACAGGAAAAAACUUCAACACUGAGGACACAGCUGUGUAUUACUGUGCUCGCUAUACACUGUGCUACAACCUGCCACAGGACCUGUACAAAAACCCAAUUUUUCAAUAA
Non-coding RNA from Onychostoma macrolepis, 324 nucleotides. NCBI's taxonomy places the organism in Eukaryota, Metazoa, Chordata, Actinopteri, Cypriniformes, Cyprinidae. The record is from the annotation of a RefSeq genome assembly.